AAAAAAAACUUCAAGAUUUAAUUAUAUAUAGAUGACUUAUAAUUCAGUCGUCCACGAGACGACUGAAAUGUAAGUCGUCCAGGAUUUACGAGGUUUGACCAGAAUCUCGGAAAAAAUCUUGGACGACAUACAAGUAAGUCGUCUCGUGGACGAUUGUAUUAUAAUUCGUCUGUGUAUAAUUAAAUCUUGAAGUUUUUUUUAUAACAAAGACUAGCAAUAAAUUAGCAUGAAAGAUAACAUAAAAGAAUGAUAGAAGGAACAAUCGAUAUGAAUUUGUCAAUACAAGUAUACUAUCUAAGUAUUAUAAUCAACAAACUAAAAACAUACAAAUUUUGAACAUUUAGAAAACAAAUCUCAAGAUUACAAUGAAGACGCUAUUUAAAACUUUUGCUCUCUUAUCUUCAGCAUUUGGCAACUAGAAAAACUGAUUAUCAAAAUUAUUUAAUACAUUAGUUUUCAAAGGAUCUUAAAAAUCUUCACGUAAACUCCAAAACAAAAAAAUAUUAUCUAUUAUAGCAAAACAUAAAUUGUAAAUAUUUUAAUACAUUAUACGAUCAUGAAAUCUUAACUACAAUACAAAUAAUUAAUUAGAUCAAGUCGUAGAUAAAUCUAAUACUUUAGAUUCUCAAUACUAUUAAUUCAAUAAAUAAAAUGUUACAUAACAAUAGGUAAAUUCAUUAUAUUUACUUUACUUCUUAUAUUAUCUUAUGAAGGCUAUUUAAUAUUAAUUAAAUUUCAUCAAAAUAUGUAUUGUGAUUUAAUUUUAAAUAUAAGAGGGUAUAUUUAUAAAUAGACAUAAAUAAUAAAAUUAACAAAUCAUAUUUCAGAUAAGAAAAUUAUAUAAAUAAAUUAAAUAAUUAGUUUAAAAGUUAUUAUAAAACUAAUCUAAAUUAUUAAUACAGACUCGCGCGUAGCGCGAAUAUUAAAUCUAGCGUAGUUCAUAUCUUGUACUAUAUAAAAGUUGAGGGCGUCCACAUAGGAUUUAAAACCUCCAGUCGUGUUAUGACAAAUAAGCAUUUUAAUUUGUUAUUUUUAAAUAUGUCAAUGUUUAUAUAAAAGUUAAAGUUAUAAGCCAUUGAGAACGUCCACAUAUGAUUUAAAACAACAAGUUGUAUUAUGACACAUGAGAUCUUUAAUUUACUUCUUUUUUUUUUGAAAGUGAAUUUGUGUAUAGCACAUAAAGAAUGUCGAUAUUAGCUCAAUACCCAAAAGUGAAAAAAGCUGGUGUCCAGUGUUAUUAUGCAGAAUCAAAUUACCUUAGUGUCCUUUUGUUAAAUGAGAGUUUCAAUAAUGAAAAUCUCAAUUGCCGAUGAAAAUCUCCUCUCUCCUUUUUUUUAAAUAUGUAUAUUAAUUAGAACUUCAUUUCCGUAAAGGGACAAAUCGGAGCAAAACAAAUAGACGCAACACUCUAAAGAAACAUCAGGCUAGGUUUCAUGAGAGAUGACUACAAUCUAUAACUACAGAACAAAGAAGCAGAGAGGGUCAAAGGCAAGGGAAAUAAGGCUAGGGAAGCUUGUUCCCUCCUCCGGUGACUAUCAAUCCGGUUACCGAAGCUUUUCACGGCGGGGUGUCCAAGCCAGUGCUAGAUCCGCCACCGGUUUCCUUCAAUCAAUCACCCACCAGACCUCGGCGUCUCUCGCGUGCCGAUCGAACCUCACCGCGACCGAGACUCUACAUCUCGAGUUUCCCUUGUGUUUAAUCUCGUCCCUCGCACCUCGACGCAACGGAGACGGCAGCGUGUAGCGUCUCCCGGACGGAGGCGAGAAGGUCUAGAGCUAGCUGGUUGGUGGAAGACGCGCCGGUGGAGUCGGAGAUGUCGGCGAGGUGAGUGUUGAGAUCGGUGAGAGAAGAGAAAUAGGGGCAUAAUUGUCUUCCUAAAUUGUUGAACAGUACUUAAAAGUACCUUAUGGUAUUGACCUAAUUUCGCCUAAAGCUGAAUGUAGAGAGUGCAAUUUCUCUUUUCUUAAUAUGUAAAAAAUUUCAAAACUGUUUAUUUCAUAAUAAAAUAAAAAUCAAUUUAAAUAUGGUAAACUUACAAAAUUCAAGGAAUUAUAUAUAAUUUAACUAAAUAUAUAAUAUAUUUUCGAAAAUUAACAUAAAAUAUCUUACAAAUUUAAUAUUUAACUUAAAUAUGCAAGAUAUUUAAACAAUUAGAACUAUAUAAAUUUAAAACACAUGCUUUUUUAAGUUUAGGUUACAUACUAUUGAAAAUAUUCAAUAAUAUGAUUUAAAACAACUAUUAAUAAUAUGACAAAUCAUUAAUUUAGUUUAAUAUUGUUAAAAAGUCAAUAUUCCAAAAAUUGGUUUAUUUUAAAAUAAAACAGAAAUCAAUAU
Brassica rapa (field mustard) is the source of this 2334-nucleotide long non-coding RNA. RefSeq lists it as uncharacterized. NCBI's taxonomy places the organism in Eukaryota, Viridiplantae, Streptophyta, Magnoliopsida, Brassicales, Brassicaceae. The record is from RefSeq and is a predicted model, not a curated record.